This 339-nucleotide ribosomal RNA is filed under the name Staphylococcus aureus. Its description in RNAcentral is "bacterial SSU rRNA". It matches the Rfam family "Bacterial small subunit ribosomal RNA", at positions 1 to 329 of the family's 1533-position model. Lineage: Bacteria; Bacillati; Bacillota; Bacilli; Caryophanales; Staphylococcaceae. The record is from RNAcentral.
UUUAUGGAGAGUUUGAUCCUGGCUCAGGAUGAACGCUGGCGGCGUGCCUAAUACAUGCAAGUCGAGCGAACGGAUGAGAAGCUUGCUUCUCUGAUGUUAGCGGCGGACGGGUGAGUAACACGUGGAUAACCUACCUAUAAGACUGGGAUAACUUCGGGAAACCGGAGCUAAUACCGGAUAAUAUUUUGAACCGCAUGGUUCAAAAGUGAAAGACGGUCUUGCUGUCACUUAUAGAUGGAUCCGCGCUGCAUUAGCUAGUUGGUAAGGUAACGGCUUACCAAGGCAACGAUGCAUAGCCGACCUGAGAGGGUGAUCGGCCACACUGGAACUGAGACACGG